RNAcentral lists this ribosomal RNA (461 nucleotides) under uncultured bacterium. RNAcentral's name for it is "bacterial SSU rRNA". It matches the Rfam family "Bacterial small subunit ribosomal RNA", at positions 917 to 1382 of the family's 1533-position model. The record is from RNAcentral.
GGACCCGCACAAGCGGUGGAUGAUGUGGUUUAAUUCGAUGCAACGCGAAAAACCUUACCUACCCUUGACAUGCCAGGAAUCCUGCAGAGAUGUGGGAGUGCUCGAAAGAGAACCUGGACACAGGUGCUGCAUGGCCGUCGUCAGCUCGUGUCGUGAGAUGUUGGGUUAAGUCCCGCAACGAGCGCAACCCUUGUCAUUAGUUGCUACGAAAGGGCACUCUAAUGAGACUGCCGGUGACAAACCGGAGGAAGGUGGGGAUGACGUCAGGUCCUCAUGGCCCUUAUGGGUAGGGCUACACACGUCAUACAAUGGCCGGUACAGAGGGCUGCCAACCCGCGAGGGGGAGCUAAUCCCAGAAAACCGGUCGUAGUCCGGAUCGCAGUCUGCAACUCGACUGCGUGAAGUCGGAAUCGCUAGUAAUCGCGGAUCAGCUUGCCGCGGUGAAUACGUUCCCGGGUCUU